Molecule: ribosomal RNA, 163 nt
Filed under: Thinouia mucronata
Lineage: Eukaryota; Viridiplantae; Streptophyta; Magnoliopsida; Sapindales; Sapindaceae
Also listed under: 1 other name
Description: 5.8S ribosomal RNA
Rfam family: 5.8S ribosomal RNA
About the family: 5.8S ribosomal RNA (5.8S rRNA) is a component of the large subunit of the eukaryotic ribosome. It is transcribed by RNA polymerase I as part of the 45S precursor that also contains 18S and 28S rRNA.
Source: RNAcentral
AUAACGACUCUCGGCAACGGAUAUCUCGGCUCUCGCAUCGAUGAAGAACGUAGCGAAAUGCGAUACUUGGUGUGAAUUGCAGAAUCCCGUGAACCAUCGAGUCUUUGAACGCAAGUUGCGCCCCAAGCCUUCGGGCCGAGGGCACGUCUGCCUGGGUGUCACG